This 363-nucleotide ribosomal RNA is filed under the name Salinicola socius. Its description in RNAcentral is "bacterial LSU rRNA". It matches the Rfam family "Bacterial large subunit ribosomal RNA", at positions 2585 to 2925 of the family's 2925-position model. Lineage: Bacteria; Pseudomonadati; Pseudomonadota; Gammaproteobacteria; Oceanospirillales; Halomonadaceae. The record is from RNAcentral.
CAUUUAAAGUGGUACGCGAGCUGGGUUUAGAACGUCGUGAGACAGUUCGGUCCCUAUCUGCCGUGGGCGUUGGAGAUUUGCGAAGUGCUGCUCCUAGUACGAGAGGACCGGAGUGGACGCACCUCUGGUGUUCCGGUUGUCACGCCAGUGGCAUCGCCGGGUAGCUAUGUGCGGACGGGAUAACCGCUGAAAGCAUCUAAGCGGGAAGCCUUCUUCAAGAUGAGAUCUCCCCGAGACCUAGAGUCUCCUAAAGGGUCCCGCAAGACUAGCUGGUUGAUAGGCACGGUGUGGAAGCGCUGCAAGGCGUUGAGCUAACGUGUACUAAUGCCCCGUGAGGCUUGACCAUAUAACCCCAAGGGGUUU